Gallus gallus (chicken) is the source of this 1436-nucleotide long non-coding RNA. The record is from Ensembl. Lineage: Eukaryota; Metazoa; Chordata; Aves; Galliformes; Phasianidae.
CACGCCCCCACGGCCGGGCCGCACCUCGCCUUCUCAGGAGAUGCAUCUGGUUCGGAGUGGUACGGCGGUGGUGCUGUAGCCGGAGCUCUGCUUGGUGGCUAUCGGAAGAUUGUUAAAAGAGAGGUUACGUCUGGAGGCCACGCUGCUCGUACUUCAUACAGAAAACUACUGAAGGGGCUAUGAAAUCCUCCAUGAUUUACACUCCCUCUCAGUGCAUUAGGAUAUAGAUCUACUCGGCGCUAAAAAUACUGUGGAGUUUGUAACCGACGUGAAUAUAUGUGCGUUAUUUCAGAAAGUCUGUUAGAAAACUUGUCAACACGUUAUAAAGCAUAAACCAGGGCUCGGCCAUUAAAGGCGGAGAUCAGACACAGAAGCACACCGCAGGAAGCGCCGAGAAAAGUCCCCCAUUCAAAACACUGCUGGCCGCGAGCUGACACCCGGCGCGCACCGAAGGGCUCGGGGGAGCCGCGCUCCAUCGUUGUGGGGCACGGACGGGGCUGCGCGCCCUGGGCUACGGCGAAUAAUGGUCGCGGCGUCAGGAUUUAUCGCCUGGCAAAAGCCGCGUCAGGGCUUGUAAAUACAGUUAUUUGUGUCCACGGCUGCUCGUUAAACAGCCUCGCUCCUUCCACGAAAACACAGCAAAAUAAAAACCCACCUGCUUUAAUAAAGCCCGUGGAUACGGCGCUCCAAGAACGCCUCCCGACGCCUUUUCUCGGUCUGCUGUCGCCCUCUCGUCACAUGACAACGGCAGCGCGGGGGGCGGCGGGCAGUGCGCGUUAUUGUGAUCAAUGCCGACAGCAGCGCCCGUCCGGCCGAGGGGAGCGCUGAGCUGAGGUACGGCUCCGCUUCGCCCGCGCAGUUACUCCGUGCCAGCAUUGAGGGCACACUGCCGGCAGGACUCGCUCGCUGCCGUUCCCGAGAGCAUCCGUACAAUCAGCUGUCGAGUGCGUCUCACGGUGCGGCAGGGGCAGCCACCGCUGGAAUCUCAGCCGCGGUGCAGCGAGACGGCGGGCUGAGGUAUAACUAAGUGAUAAACUCGCUGCGAGUUUUUAAAGAAAACCGAUGGAACGCUGCCUGGUAUUUAUCAGAACCGGCCCCGGCCAGGUAUGCCGCCGUACGUGGGCUUCGGAGAGCGCACGGCUGCGUAAUGACUCGUAAUUAUUCAGAGCACUGUUAAAUGCGAACUGCAGAACGUUUCGGAGGUAAUAAAGUAAUUACUUCUGCACCGCAGUUACCUUGAAAAGCUUUACACGCUCCACGAUAUACAAAUCAAAUCGUAUGAACAUACCUGUGCCGCACACACCCGCUUAUUUAUGUGCGCUCCGCACGGAGCACAUGGCCGCACGGACACGGUCGCCCGCCCUGUGGGCAGCGUGAGCGCAGCACCUGGAGCUCCCCCGGCGCCGCGCCUCCUCCCCGCCUCGCGCCGAUCGGAC